This 490-nucleotide ribosomal RNA is filed under the name uncultured Sphingobacteriales bacterium. RNAcentral's name for it is "bacterial SSU rRNA". It matches the Rfam family "Bacterial small subunit ribosomal RNA", at positions 891 to 1382 of the family's 1533-position model. The record is from RNAcentral. Lineage: Bacteria; Pseudomonadati; Bacteroidota; Sphingobacteriia; Sphingobacteriales.
GCUCAGAAACUCAAGGAAUUGACGGGGCCGCACAAGCGGAGGAACAUGUGGUUUAAUUCGAUGAUACGCGAGGAACCUUACCUGGGCUUAAAUGGGGAGUGACAGCUGUCGAAAGAUGGUUUUCUUCGGACACUCUUCAAGGUGCUGCAUGGUUGUCGUCAGCUCGUGCCGUGAGGUGUCGGGUUAAGUCCCAUAACGAGCGCAACCCUUACCGUUAGUUACCAUCAGGUUAAGCUGGGGACUCUAGCGGGACUGCCACCGUAAGGUGAGAGGAAGGUGGGGAUGACGUCAAAUCAGCACGGCCCUUAUGUCACCCCGGGCUACACACGUGUUACAAUGGCCGGUACAAAGGGCAGCUACUUCGCGAGAAGAUGCUAAUCUCGAAAGCCGGUCUCAGUUCGGAUCGAAGUCUGCAACCCGACUUCGUGAAGCUGGAUUCGCUAGUAAUCGCGCAUCAGCCAUGGCGCGGUGAAUACGUUUCCCGGGCCUU